UGAGGAAUAUUGGACAAUGGGCGCAAGCCUGAUCCAGCCAUGCCGCGUGCAGGAAGACUGCCCUAUGGGUUGUAAACUGCUUUUAUACAGGAAGAAACACCCCGACGUGUCGGGGCUUGACGGUACUGUAAGAAUAAGGAUCGGCUAACUCCGUGCCAGCAGCCGCGGUAAUACGGAGGAUCCAAGCGUUAUCCGGAAUCAUUGGGUUUAAAGGGUCCGUAGGUGGAUAAUUAAGUCAGGGGUGAAAGUCUGCAGCUCAACUGUAGAAUUGCCUUUGAUACUGGUUGUCUUGAGUUAUUAUGAAGUAGUUAGAAUAUGUGGUGUAGCGGUGAAAUGCAUAGAUAUCACAUAGAAUACCAAUUGCGAAGGCAGAUUACUAAUAAUAUACUGACACUGAUGGACGAAAGCGUGGGGAGCGAACAGGAUUAGAUACCCUGGUAGUCCACGCCGUAAACGAUGGUUACUAGCUGUUCGAACCUCGGUUGGAGUGGCUAAGCGAAAGU
RNAcentral lists this ribosomal RNA (503 nucleotides) under uncultured bacterium. RNAcentral describes it as "bacterial SSU rRNA". It matches the Rfam family "Bacterial small subunit ribosomal RNA", at positions 355 to 858 of the family's 1533-position model. The record is from RNAcentral.